GACGAACGCUGGCGGCGUGCUUAACACAUGCAAGUCGAACGGAAAGGCCCUGCUUUUGUGGGGUGCUCGAGUGGCGAACGGGUGAGUAACACGUGAGUAACCUGCCCUUGACUUUGGGAUAACUUCAGGAAACUGGGGCUAAUACCGGAUAGGAGCUCCUGCUGCAUGGUGGGGGUUGGAAAGUUUCGGCGGUUGGGGAUGGACUCGCGGCUUAUCAGCUUGUUGGUGGGGUAGUGGCUUACCAAGGCUUUGACGGGUAGCCGGCCUGAGAGGGUGACCGGCCACAUUGGGACUGAGAUACGGCCCAGACUCCUACGGGAGGCAGCAGUGGGGAAUAUUACACAAUGGGCGGAAGCCUGAUGCAGCAACGCCGCGUGCGGGAUGACGGCCUUCGGGUUGUAAACCGCUUUCGCCUGUGACGAAGCGUGAGAGACGGUAAUGGGUAAAGAAGCACCGGCUAACUACGUG
This 468-nucleotide ribosomal RNA is filed under the name uncultured bacterium. Its description in RNAcentral is "partial 16S ribosomal RNA". It matches the Rfam family "Bacterial small subunit ribosomal RNA", at positions 28 to 507 of the family's 1533-position model. The record is from RNAcentral.